UUUCAGAAAGCCUUUGCGCAUCUGUGUUGAUUCAUAAAAUUUUGCAGACGUGCGCACACCUCUGUGCCUUGAGUAUCUUUAUUCACUAAUGUGAAUUAAUUAAGACUGCCAUAAGUUAUGUGUGUGGGUAUGUGUUUACAUGCAAGCUGUCCUUGCAUAAACCUCACAGGUGAAGACCCAGCAGCUGGUGAUAGAGUGAGGGGCAUCUGAUGGAUGGAGAGCGAGAAAGUCGACAAGGGGUUGCCUUCAAGAGUUCAGUGAGAAGAAACCAGACGAGUAUAGAACUGCGUGCUGAAGACUUAAAGCACUCAAGGAUUCAAAGCAGACAAUUUCAUUGAGUAUGCCAAUAUGACAGCACCACCAAUGUAGAGCAGUUUGACAGGUAUAAUAAGAGUGACUGGCCUAAAUCAGAAUAUUGGAAAUAAUUGUCACUUCUUGUUCUGAGUAAAUUUGAUGCAAAUAAGCUGUGACAACUGUCUUUGUGUCAACUAUGUAUUUUCCUCUUGCAUUUCCUUUUGCAUAAAAUGCCACUACAA
Long non-coding RNA from Pygocentrus nattereri (red-bellied piranha), 536 nucleotides. RefSeq lists it as uncharacterized. The record is from RefSeq and is a predicted model, not a curated record. The transcript has 2 exons. Lineage: Eukaryota; Metazoa; Chordata; Actinopteri; Characiformes; Serrasalmidae.